This 74-nucleotide transfer RNA is filed under the name Acidodontium subrotundum. Its description in RNAcentral is "partial tRNA-Leu". The record is from RNAcentral. Lineage: Eukaryota; Viridiplantae; Streptophyta; Bryopsida; Bryales; Bryaceae.
CGAUCGGUAGACGCUACGGACUUGAAAAUCCGUUGGCUUUAUUGACCAUGAGGGUUCAAGUCCCUCUACCCCCA